GCAAUUAUACCGUGAAACUGCGAAUGGCUCAUUAAAUCAGUUAUCGUUUAUUUGAUAGUACCUUACUACUUGGAUAACCGUGGUAAUUCUAGAGCUAAUACAUGCUAAAAACCCCAACUUCGGGAGGGGUGUAUUUAUUAGAUAAAAAACCAACGCCCUUCGGGGCUUCUUGGUGAUUCAUGAUAACUUUACGGAUCGCAUGGCCUUGCGCCGGCGACGGUUCAUUCAAAUUUCUGCCCUAUCAACUUUCGAUGGUAAGGUAUUGGCUUACCAUGGUUUCAACGGGUAACGGGGAAUUAGGGUUCGAUUCCGGAGAGGGAGCCUGAGAAACGGCUACCACAUCCAAGGAAGGCAGCAGGCGCGCAAAUUACCCAAUCCCGACACGGGGAGGUAGUGACAAUAAAUACUGAUACAGGGCUCUUUUGGGUCUUGUAAUUGGAAUGAGUACAAUUUAAACCUCUUAACGAGGAACAAUUGGAGGGCAAGUCUGGUGCCAGCAGCCGCGGUAAUUCCAGCUCCAAUAGCGUAUAUUAAAGUUGUUGCAGUUAAAAAGCUCGUAGUUGAAACUUGGGUCUGGCUGGCAGGUCCGCCUCACCGCGUGUACUUGUCCGGCCGGGCCUUCCUUCUGGAGAACCUCAUGCCCUUCACUGGGCGUGUUGGGGACCAGGACUUUUACUUUGAAAAAAUUAGAGUGUUCAAAGCAGGCCUUUGCUCGAAUACGUUAGCAUGGAAUAAUAGAAUAGGACGUGCGGUCCUAUUUUGUUGGUUUCUAGGACCGCCGUAAUGAUUAAUAGGGACAGUCGGGGGCAUCAGUAUUCAAUUGUCAGAGGUGAAAUUCUUGGAUUUAUUGAAGACUAACUACUGCGAAAGCAUUUGCCAAGGAUGUUUUCAUUAAUCAGUGAACGAAAGUUAGGGGAUCGAAGACGAUCAGAUACCGUCGUAGUCUUAACCGUAAACUAUGCCGACUAGGGAUCGGGCGAUGUUCUUUUUCUGACUCGCUCGGCACCUUACGAGAAAUCAAAG
This 1023-nucleotide ribosomal RNA is filed under the name Neosetophoma guiyangensis. RNAcentral's name for it is "SSU rRNA". It matches the Rfam family "Eukaryotic small subunit ribosomal RNA", at positions 69 to 1103 of the family's 1831-position model. The record is from RNAcentral. Lineage: Eukaryota; Fungi; Ascomycota; Dothideomycetes; Pleosporales; Phaeosphaeriaceae.